This 257-nucleotide long non-coding RNA is filed under the name Olea europaea (common olive). RNAcentral describes it as "long non-coding RNA (OEUR_LNC003469)". Lineage: Eukaryota; Viridiplantae; Streptophyta; Magnoliopsida; Lamiales; Oleaceae. The record is from RNAcentral.
UGGAAUUCGCCGGCUUCUUGUCCUUCUAAUCCCCUUCGGAUAUUUUCACUCUCUAUUUCUACUGGUUUGGUUUUAUCAAUUACUUGUUCCAAUGCUGCUAUAUCUAUUUGCCAAGAUUUCGAAUACUUUCUUGAUGUAACGAAUUGUUCAGUGAAUGUUGAAAAGUAUAAGACAUUAUUGUACAAUUCUGAGGUAAGAAAGGAUAAACAAACCGGUAGUCUAUAUAUGAUUGGUUUUUUUGCAUAGUUAUUAUCUCU